Physcomitrium patens is the source of this 2413-nucleotide non-coding RNA. NCBI's taxonomy places the organism in Eukaryota, Viridiplantae, Streptophyta, Bryopsida, Funariales, Funariaceae. The record is from RefSeq and is a predicted model, not a curated record.
GUGAAUGAGAAGAUGGAGAAAAUAUCAGAUCAGAGGUCCAGUCACCUUCGGAAAUAUCUUGCCGGGUCCACGAGCACUGCAUGGAAGCGGGAAAUUAUUUGCCACUAGCGAGGGCGGUGCAGAGUCUCACGAGGAUAAAGGAUGCUGGGGUUAGAACCUCUGCAGAUGGAUCACUCUCGACGACGCAUGCAAAAGAUCAGCGAGAGCCGUUUUCUUCCAUCUGCUCUGACGGCGAUAGGUUCCGGAGCUCUCGAUGCUCUUAUGAGAUCCAGUCCCAAGCUGAUACGCGCUGUUUUUGCUCCGUCCCAACUCGCAUUUCAGCCUUCCGCAGGUAACCUUUGCAGUUGAUGGACACACACGCCGCAUCAAGUUGCAAGGGGUCAUGGAAAGGGGGGGGGGGAGAUCAAAAUUUCAGCGGUGGGUUCACAUUUUAGCGUUGAUCCCACGUAGAGCGGACAUGCAAGGAAAACGAUUUAAGGCAGCUAAGGUUUGAAGCAACGGACCAGGUGACACUGCCGCUCGGCACUGAUCUGAAAUCCGAUUAUUGGGAGAUCGGUCACGGGCAGUGAAACGCGACCCUAUCGUGGUUUAUCCUGAACGUGAACUUUGACGCUGGAUUCGAGGACGCCGCAUUAGCAUUUGUCAGUUUGUCUGACUUACACCACUAUGUUGACCUAAAUAGUGAUCUUAACUUCUUAACCCUGGUGGCAAGAGCAACUGCAGAUGCUGAGGGGAUGUGAAGUGAAAGUUAAAGGGUUUGAGGAGUGUGCUGUUGAUACGCGCCUUCCAUCGUUUCCAAUCAUGGUCCAGUUUUCAACCUCAGUGUGACAAGUUUUGAGGUCUGAGGUCGACGAAAUGGGCAAUGAGUUUUUGAAGGCUUUCAAGAUUCGACUGCAGGAGGAUUUCGAGGUUUCGACGCAUUUCGACCUAAAAGAAGCACAACCGUGACGAGCUUCUGAGCUGAAAGGUCUCUUCUAAAAUUGAAUGAACCAGUUUAAGGUGUCAGUUCCUUAGAGAACGAAGGUUGCGACGUCAACUUAUCAAUUAACGUGGUACAUGUUAGUUGUACAUAGUGAAGCUCCACUUGAUAUUUCAGGUCCGAUCAGCUAUGUUUUCCAAACGUCAUGACUAUUGGGAGACGCCAAACUCGGAGACAAGCUGGAUAGUUCUGGAGUUGCAAAGCAGCAGAUACUUCGAAGUGCCUGUUACUUCGCAACAAGACGACGAGCUAGACAUCUGACCACAAUUCUGGCAAAAUCAUCGUGCGAAAUAGGGCAAAGAUUGGUACGAAGCUCUUAGUGUGUCUUGUUGAUGCGCUCGUCAUCCAGCUAACAAAAAGGUAUUAAUCAGUGAGGAGAAGCUCAUGCUUGUAAAUUCAAAACAUAUCAUGGGCUUAUAAUAUGACAAAUUUGGAUCAAAAAGGCAGUUAACUGAAGAUCUUGUUGUAUUUAGUUACUAGUUUUUUUUACACCUUUCAUCAUGAAUAUGAAAUUAUUUGGCUUUUCACUGUUAUAUUUAUUUUCAAGGUUCGAAGAGAAAUUAGAAGAACAAACCAAGAACCUUACUUUUCCUUAUAUAGACUGCGGUCUUGUACUUUAUUUUGAUUACUGCGUUGAAUUUUAUCUGGUAUAGCAAACUUUUAGUCAGGAAUUAGUGAGUUGGGCAUUCAAUUUGUCUGUUUUUACAACUACUAGUUCUCUCGGUUUAGUGUUGAGAAUAAGUCACAAAAUUACAAAACAUAAAGUUGCUGAUCAUAUUCAUGGGUGCUUGGAAUAGCUGGAUCUCCUUUGCGUGUGAUCCGGAGGGUGUGUAAUUUGCAACUGCUGGAUUCCAGGCACUGCUACUCAUGUGUUGAGAUGCAGAUGGACGAGCCAUUAUUUGAUGCUCCCAAGAAGGAAGGAUAUGCGUCGGCCGAAAGAAGCAGGAACCCGAUUUACCUUCACAUCUGUUCCAGCUCUUAGAUCUACAAUGUCACAUGAACACAUACUUGGUAACGAAUCUGGCAGUAAGACUUCAUUUAUAUGGGUCCAUUCCGCUCCAAGCUUUCACAUCUGUGACAGAUUUAGCAAUAUAGUGAAAAUCUGACCGUUGGUGAUGCAACUGAAGCAAGUUUUCACGUGACAUUGUAGAUCUACGUGCCGGAUUAGUGGUGAAAGCCUCAAGUUCAAGGAUAGCAUGGUCCCUGCAAGUUUCUCACGUUGAGCAUGUGUAGUAUUACUUUACCCUGCAAGUUUUGAGCUGUUAUUCUAAAGCACAAUAGACCCUUCAUGAAGAUGCUCUUGAUAUUUUCAAUUGCAUGAUUCGGGAAGAGGUGUGAUCAGGAACCGAUUAGGUGUUGCGCUUGUAUGAAGAACAUUUGAUUGUGCUACGAAUCACUUGAUUGGUUAACCAUUUGUGGACGUUGCUGUUUCAA